AUGCAGCUCUGGGAAGGAAUGAGGAGGAUAUGGCCAAUCCCAAGCAACAAAUGUCUAGUAAAUACUGGGGAGGAAUGGGUGCUCAAUGUCCGAGCAAACUGCACUGAGAGGGUACAUGACAUGGUGCUGAUUUUAAUAUGGAGAGUAUGGAAUUUGCAGAUCGAUUUAUUGCAUGGAAAGGACCAAGUUCUAGUAAAAAUCUCAGCCAACUUCUUCAAUAGCUAUUUGAACUCUUUAUGGCAUGCAAAAAAGUAUAAUAUGGAGGAGGUGAUCAAAGGUAAAAUGGUAGAGAGAGUGGGGUGGUCAAAACCCAAGAACAAGGAAACUGCGUCGGCCAGACCAUGGCCUGCUCCUGCUGCAGGAUGGGUCGCCCUUUCGGUUGAUGGAUCAUUAUCCUCAGAGGGGACUGCAGGUUCAAGGAUGGUCCUGAGGAAUCCGGAUAGAAGCUUGAUUUUUGCUGCUUAUCGGCACCUCUUUUUCUACAACGAAGUCCUCGAAGUGGAACUACAUGCAAUUAGGGAGGGUCUAGCGCUAGCUUUGGAGCGACCAGACCUUCCCAUGGUAAUCCAAUCUGACUCUUCGAUGAUGCUUUCUUCAUUGUCCUCAGAUAUUCUUGAUCGAUCGGCUUAUGGUCAUUUAGUCAUGGAGAUUAAGCACCUCUUAACUGGUAGAGAGUUUUUUCCCAUGAAAAUUUCUAGAGAUCAAAACAGAGAGUAG
This 717-nucleotide ribosomal RNA is filed under the name Triticum aestivum (bread wheat). RNAcentral's name for it is "partial small subunit ribosomal RNA". The record is from RNAcentral. Lineage: Eukaryota; Viridiplantae; Streptophyta; Magnoliopsida; Poales; Poaceae.